Molecule: long non-coding RNA, 2972 nt
Filed under: Bos taurus (domestic cattle)
Lineage: Eukaryota; Metazoa; Chordata; Mammalia; Artiodactyla; Bovidae
Description: long non-coding RNA NONBTAT005717
Source: RNAcentral
UGUUCGUUCACCUGCUGACCUGACCUCGUCCCCCAGAGCCAGGAGUUCCUGCUGAGGAUGCAUGGACCCAUCUUUUGCAGUGCCAGGCAGGGCGGCUGAGGAGGACUGGACCCGGUUGCUGGGGGUCCACUCGCAUCCACACCACAAACAUUGAAGGAGGCUUCCCGUGGCAUCUGUGCCCAGACACAGGCAAUGCCCAGAGGAAGAGAAAAGUGCUGGGCAACGUCCGGGAGCUCUCUGCCCAGUGGCAGGGAAAGCCCUGAAAGAAGAGCCCUGGUCUUGAACUUCCCAAUCUGCUCCAUCCCCCAUCCCCAUCCACUCCCUCGCCUCCACCACUACCCUAGGUCACCCCCUCCCCAGGCUUUUUGUGUUUUGGGAGAAGUCACCAAACCAGGAUGUUAAAUCCCAGCCCCCUCCUUCCUACCCUCCCUGGCUUUAUUUUAAACUUCUGAGGCCUCCCAGGCAAGCGGAGGAAGUGACGAGAUCCCUGUGGUGGGUCAUGGCGGGUGAUGCUCUCAGCCCACCGGCCCUUCUUGUCUCAGUCCCGACCCCUCCCAUACUCUGUCCCUUGCUUCCAGAUGCUCAGGAUGACAACAGAGGAAAUGGACAUCUUCUGUUUGAAUAUCCCAGAAUACAGUGCUUCUGUCUCCUCCCACCGGUCCAGUUAGCUUCCCUCUGGACCAGCAGGCGAGGGGGAGACGUGAGGGUUUGGGACCUUUGGCUGGGAAGCCGCUGACCAGGUGGCCAGGGGGCGGGGUGUGUGGGGAGAAGGGCUGAGGGGCAGUUAGGAUGGCCCUGUUUCUGAGGGCGCCUGAGCCUGGGGCUGGCAUUACACAUGGGGGCUUCGAGGAUGCUGAGGGUGAGGAGAGGUCACCCUGCAGGAGCCGUGGGGCCGGUGAGAUAAAGCCUCAGGGAUGCCCGUGAACUGGUUUGUCCGCUUCCGCUCCCAGGGGCCACCGCAGGCUUGAUUGGUGGGGGGUGCUGAGCAUGGAAGCCCAGGCAGCUUUCGCUGGGGCAGACUCUCAGGCCGAUGCUGAAGAAGGCUGCUUGUCAGCCAGCGUGUCCCAGGGAGAGGGGAGCAGGUGUGGGGUUCCUGCCAUCUGUGAUAAGCUCCUCGGCUUGCUUGGCAGGAGCCGGUCUUUGCAUGUAGCCCCUUUCCAAUGUGCUGUGUACCAUUCUGGUUUCUCCUGUCCCUGGUGCUGGCUGGGAGUGGGUGGGGGCUGUGGCCUCGGCGCUGGGGAAGGAUGGAGGGCCAGUGGUCCAGGCCCCUUUGAGCGGGGGGAAGGACGUGACCAGGACAUUUAAACUGAGUUGGAGGGGAGCAGCUGCUUUUCUGUCUUUGUUUCUCUGCUCCUUGGGGGCUGGGGCAGGGGUAGUCUGGCCUCCCCCCGGGCUUGCUCUUUGACCUAAAGUUUGUUUCUGAUGGGGUCAGCUUUCCCUUCCUCCCUCAAUACUUGGGAACCUUCCUUCCAACUCCACACUUACUGUUUCAAGCACUGCUGGGGCCUUGAGCUUGUUGGAUUGCAUUUCUGCCGAGAGGAGCCUGUGGGUUCUGCUGUCCUCCAGGGCCUCCGCCAUCGUGUGUGGGCUUUUCUGGACAAGUAGGGCAAGAGGAGGGUGGGCCGGGGGUGCUUCUCAGGGGAGACAGGCUCCAGGCCUGGGCUCUGAGGUCGCUGUCUGGGGUUUUUGGUCUGGCUUAGGGUUGGGGAUAAGCCUCUGGCUACCAGGGCUCCUGGGUGGGGUCUUGUUUGGGGGUUGGUAUUUGGGGUGAAGGUUCAGGAAGCUGCCGUCUAUGCAAUAAUAAACUUGCAUCUGCUCACAGGCUCUGCCUGGGCUGUGGGGUCUGCUUGUGGCCUCAGGAUGGGGGACUGGUCUGAGGAGGAGGAGGGAAGCUGAGGACCCUGGGUCAUGCUGGGUCAGGCCCUGCCUCUCUUACAGUUUCCAUAAUACCUCCUGUGUGUGCACUUGCUCAGUCGUGUCUGACUCUCUGCAACCCCAUGGACUGUAGCCCACCAACCUCCUCUGUCCAUGGGGUCAGCUCGGCAGGAAUACUGGAGUGGUUUGCCAUUUCCUCCUCCAGGGGAUCUUCGCAACCCAGGGAUCGAACCCAUGUCUCCUGCAGCUCCUGCAUUAGCAGGCAGAUUCUUUACCAUUGCACCACCUGGGAAUACCUCCUGAGGGGUGGCUGAAAGGCUUCAGUCCUGACAGGGCCACAGACCUUCUAGGGAAGACCUUGGGUUUGUAAAGCCAACUUCUAAAAGAUUCCCUGAGCAGCAUAUAGCAAAAGAAAGAGCCUGCCUUUUGGAAAAAAAUCUUUGGCCACCCACCCCGCAGGAUCUUAGUUCCCCAGUCAGGGAUGGAACCUGUGCCCCCUGCUUUGAAAGUCUUAACCACUGGACCUCCAGGGAAGUCCCAAAAGAGCCAGCCUUUUGAGAUUGGCUUCCCUGGGCUCUAGUCCUGCUUAGGAUACUUACUUCACUUCUCCGAGCCUCAAUUUCUCAUCUAUAAAACAGAGAAAAUACUACUACCUCCUGGGGUUGUAGUGAGGAUAACUUUAAACAUUAAAGCUCAUAUAAAGCCCAGUAAUUGAGAGCAGUAAGUGCAGACUUCCCAUUUUGGGGUCAUUAUUGCUGUUGACCUGAAGUACAGUCAUUAGCCCUCUCACAAGCUUCUUGCAUUUUAAUUGAAACCCCAGAAACCUCGAGUGGGUGGAGGUGAUUCGGGCUCCUGUCAGAAAGUCACAGAGCGUCUCAGUCAAAGGAAGGACCUAUAGGCCAUCAUCAUAGCUUCCAGAGGCUUAGAUGGGAGGAGAGACUUGCCCAAGUUCACACAACAAGCCAGGGGUGGGAAAGCAAUUAUCUUGACUUAUUUUAGUGGCUAAGUCAAGCCAACAGCCCCCAUGAGCAUUGGAGGGGAGGGUCCCUCACCAGUAGGCUUGAGUUCAGGCAGGUUCCAGAGUUCUUUGGUGCUCA